Molecule: ribosomal RNA, 1204 nt
Filed under: Cerithium coralium
Lineage: Eukaryota; Metazoa; Mollusca; Gastropoda; Cerithiidae
Description: partial 16S ribosomal RNA
Rfam family: Archaeal large subunit ribosomal RNA (bases 613-1204)
Source: RNAcentral
ACAAGGCUUAUAAGUCUUAAUUUUUAUAAAACUAAUCACAGAAACAUCUAAAUGUUAAGUAGCGGUGAUAGAAAAACAACUUAAAAUUGAAAGUACCGAGAGGGAAGAAAGUAACUGUUUAAAAAGUAGUUGAAACUGACGGUACUUUUUGCAUCACGGCCUAGCAAGAGAAUUCUUGAUAAGCAAGUAUCUCGAAGGCUAACGAGCUAUCUUUUUUUGACAUUUUAGGGUCUAGAUUUAUAGCUGUAAAUGUGGCAAAAUUUUAGCAAAAAUAAAAGAUAGUUACGAGAUGUUACUCGCGUUAGCGAUAGCUAGUUCUUCUGAAAAAACAUAUAAGUGUUGAGGCGAGAUUAAGAUAUUGGAAAAGUUAUUUAUAUUUCUUUACUCGCCCUCCAUAUCUUUAAGGAUAAGCUUAGAGAUAACUUGGAUAACACCUUAUGAAAGGGCAGUUUUUAAUGUAGGCCUGAAACCAGCCAGCAUACAUGAUUCUGUUAUAAGUCAAUUUUAACAGCCCAAAAGAUCUUUCUAUAUUUAUUUCUUCAGUAUAGAAGUAUGAGCCCUAAUUUUUUGGCUCUAAGCAUACGCUAGGAUGAGUAUUACAGUAUUUUUUUAGAGCGAAACAUAAAGUGACGCUCAUUCUAAGAUAUGAAAUUCAAUUGAAAAACAGAGGAAAGGAACUCGGCAAAUAAGUGCUUCGCCUGUUUAUCAAGAACAUGGCUCCUUGUUUUUUUUANAUAUAGAGUCGGUCCUGCCCAGUGAAAAGUUUUAACGGCCGCGGUACUCUGACCGUGCAAAGGUAGCAUAAUCACUUGCCUUAUAAUUGAAGGCUAGUAUGAAUGGUUUGACGAGAGCGCUGCUGUCUCUCUUCUGAUUUAUAAAAAUUAACUUUCAGGUGAAGAGGCCUGUCUAGAAUUGAAGGACGAGAAGACCCUGUCGAGCUUUAAGAAAACAAGGAAAAUCUUAUACUUAGUAAAUAUAAAGCCUUCUUUAUCUUUUGGUUGGGGCGACUAGGGAACAAUCAAAGCUUCCCUUACUUGUAAAACCUAUUUGUUAGGAUCCAGUAUUUUUCUACUGAUUAAAAGAAUUAGUUACCGCAGGGAUAACAGCAUAAUCCUUCUUGAGAGAUCUAAUCGAAAGAAGGGGUUGUGACCUCGAUGUUGGACUAGGAUAUCCUGAGGGUGCAGAAGCCUUCGAGGGUUGUCUG